This is a non-coding RNA of Pelobates cultripes (western spadefoot toad), 268 nucleotides long. Lineage: Eukaryota; Metazoa; Chordata; Amphibia; Anura; Pelobatidae. The record is from the annotation of a GenBank genome assembly.
GCCAUCUGCUGUGUGUCCCCUGCAAAAUAGACAGCUAGGCAUGGGACACCCCAUAUGCCAAAAUGUUAUGGGGGCAGUACUGACCGUGCAAGUAAUGAUUGUGUUUCUUUUGAGGUAAAAAAUGUGCCUGUGUAAAUAAAUGUGGGCGAAGUUAUGAGAAUAGGCUUAGUUUUGAGUGAAUUUAUGUGUCUGUUUAUGAGUAGAGUACAUAAGGGUAGACAAAUUAACACAAGGCUUUAAGUCUGAAAUAUCAAAAAAUGCUUGAGUG